Molecule: long non-coding RNA, 346 nt
Filed under: Hordeum vulgare
Lineage: Eukaryota; Viridiplantae; Streptophyta; Magnoliopsida; Poales; Poaceae
Description: long non-coding RNA (HVUL_LNC007143)
Source: RNAcentral
UAGCCUAGCUCGCACACGGUUGUAGAGCCACCCUUGACCCCCUCCAAGCCCGCAAAGGCACUGCCGUGCUUUGCCACCCUUGCAGUGCCACCGCAGCGAGGUCCCUGGCAGCACGCUUGCAGCCGCGUCUGCUCCUGCCAUGGCCGAUGCCGCCCGAGCUUUCCCCUAGCGCCAGCUAGCCUUUGAACCCCCCUGUGCAUCCACGGCCUGCUUCCAGUCCUGCUACUGCCCCUGCCAUACGCUGCAGCCCCUGCCGCGCCUGAGCGCUAGCCGUCAUCGCCGCCUGUUGUGCCCAACCCCGAUCAAGCCACCUGGCGCGCCCUGAGACCACCAGCUCGUCGUGCUC